Molecule: long non-coding RNA, 133 nt
Organism: Amblyraja radiata (thorny skate)
Lineage: Eukaryota; Metazoa; Chordata; Chondrichthyes; Rajiformes; Rajidae
Exons: 3
Source: RefSeq, a predicted model, not a curated record
UCCGCUGUUCCAGGUGUCAACUUCACAUCGGCGAGACCAAGCGCAGGCUCAGCGAUCGUUUCGCUGAACACCUCCGCUCAGUCCGAAAAACCUACCUGAUCUCCCGGUUGCUGAACACUUUAACUCCCCCUCC